Molecule: ribosomal RNA, 447 nt
Filed under: uncultured bacterium
Lineage: Bacteria
Description: SSU rRNA
Rfam family: Bacterial small subunit ribosomal RNA
Source: RNAcentral
AGAACGAACGCUGGCGGCAGGCCUCAAACAUGCAAGUCUAGGGGGUGUAGCAAUACAUCACCGGCGGACGGGUGCGUAACGCGUGGGAAUGUACCUAUUGGUUCGGAACAACUGAGGGAAACUUCAGCUAAUACCGGAUGAGCCCGAAAGGGGAAGAUUUCUCGCCAAUAGAUCAGCCCGCGCCCGAUUAGCUAGUUGGUGGGGUUAAAGCCUACCAAGGCGACGAUCGGUAGCUGUUCUGAGAGGAAGAUCAGCCACACUGGGACUGAGACACGGCCCAGACUCCUACGGGAGGCAGCAGUUGGGAAUCUUGGACAAUGGGGGAAACCCUGAUCCAGCCAUGCCGCGUGAGUGAUGAAGGCCUUCGGGUUGUAAAACUCUUUCGACGGGGACGAUAAUGACGGUACCCGUAGAAGAAGCUCCGGCUAACUUCGUGCCAGCAGCCGC